RNAcentral lists this ribosomal RNA (774 nucleotides) under uncultured Neocallimastigales. RNAcentral describes it as "partial large subunit ribosomal RNA". It matches the Rfam family "Eukaryotic large subunit ribosomal RNA", at positions 26 to 646 of the family's 3401-position model. The record is from RNAcentral. Lineage: Eukaryota; Fungi; Neocallimastigomycota; Neocallimastigomycetes; Neocallimastigales.
CGCAUCUGUGCAUGCAGCAUAUCAAUAAGCGGAGGAAAAGAAACUAACAAGGAUCCCCUUAGUAACGGCGAGUGAAGCGGGAAGAGCUCAAAUUUGAAAUCUUCAAGGUUCUACCUUGACGAAUUGUAGUUUAAAGAAGUGUUUUCUGUUAGAUGAGUAGCAAAAGUUCCUUGGAAUGGGACAUCAUAGAGGGUGAGAAUCCCGUGUUUGGUUAUUCAUUCUAGCUUUGUGAUACACUUUCAAAGAGUCGGAUUGUUUGGGAAUGCAGUCCAAAAUGGGUGGUAAAUUUCAUCUAAAGCUAAAUAUUGGCGAGAGACCGAUAGCGAACAAGUACCGUGAGGGAAAGAUGAAAAGAACUUUGAAAAGAGAGUUAAACAGUACGUGAAAUUGUCAAAAGGGAAGCGUUUGACACCAGUGUUGUUUUUCCGAAAAUCAAUUACGAAUGGCUUGAUUUUGUGUUGUAUUGACCUUAUCAGCUUUCUGCACUUUUUUCGAGUCUUUCUUAAUGCACUUUUCGGUUAACAAGUCAACAUCAAUUUCUUUUGUUGUAAAAGAGUAUUCGGAAGGUGGCUUUCUUUUCGGAGAAAGUGUUUAUAGCCCUAUACUUCUACAAUCGGAGAGAUUGAGGUCUGCAGCGUAGAUCCUUCGGGGUUAGAUACAUUUGUGCUAAGUUGUAGCUUUUCAUAGACAACUUGUUGACUAUGUUUAGUCUUGUAGCUUACUCGCUGACGCUAUUUUACCUACGCUUAGGAUGUUGAUGUGAUACUGCGAGCA